RNAcentral lists this ribosomal RNA (447 nucleotides) under Triticum aestivum (bread wheat). RNAcentral's name for it is "partial small subunit ribosomal RNA". Lineage: Eukaryota; Viridiplantae; Streptophyta; Magnoliopsida; Poales; Poaceae. The record is from RNAcentral.
AUGGAUGAUGCCUUUAAGUUCAUAAUCAAGAAUGGUGGUCUCACCACCGAGUCCAACUACCCAUAUACCGCGGCAAAUGACAAGUGCAAGAGUGGAACCAAUGAUGCCGCAACCAUCAAAAGCUAUGAGGAUGUACCAACCAACAAUGAGGGAGCCCUCAUGCAAGCCGUCGCAAGUCAACCUGUCUCGGUAGCCGUAGAUGGAGGAGAUAUGACGUUCCAGUUUUACAAAGGUGGAGUGAUGACUGGCUCAUGUGGCACUGAUCUAGACCAUGGAAUUGCAGCUAUUGGUUAUGGCAAGACCAGCGACGGCACAAAGUAUUGGUUGUUAAAGAACUCAUGGGGAACAACAUGGGGCGAGAACGGAUAUUUAAGAAUGGAAAAGGACAUUACCGACAAGAGGGGCAUGUGUGGCCUUGCGAUGGAGCCUUCUUACCCCACUGCAUAG